ACAGAGGGUGCAAGCGUUAAUCGGAAUCACUGGGCGUAAAGGGCACGUAGGUUGUUAGCUAAGUGUGAUGUGAAAGCCCCGGGCUCAACCUGGGAACUGCAUUACAAACUGGUUUACUAGAGUGUAGUAGAGGGGAGUGGAAUUCCACGUGUAGCGGUGAAAUGCGUAGAUAUGUGGAGGAACAUCAGUGGCGAAGGCGACUCUCUGGACUAACACUGACACUGAGGUGCGAAAGCGUGGGUAGCGAACAGG
This 252-nucleotide ribosomal RNA is filed under the name uncultured bacterium. Its description in RNAcentral is "partial 16S ribosomal RNA". It matches the Rfam family "Bacterial small subunit ribosomal RNA", at positions 525 to 776 of the family's 1533-position model. The record is from RNAcentral.